UGAGAUGUUGGGUUAAGUCCCGCAACGAGCGCAACCCUUGUCAUUAGUUGCUACAUUCAGUUGAGCACUCUAAUGAGACUGCCGGUGACAAACCGGAGGAAGGUGGGGAUGACGUCAAGUCCUCAUGGCCCUUAUGGGUAGGGCUUCACACGUCAUACAAUGGUACAUACAGAGGGCCGCCAACCCGCGAGGGGGAGCUAAUCCCAGAAAGUGUAUCGUAGUCCGGAUCGUAGUCUGCAACUCGACUACGUGAAGUUGGAAUCGCUAGUAAUCGCGGAUCAGCAUGCCGCGGUGAAUACGUUCCCGGGUCUUGUACACACCGCCCGUCACACCAUGGGAGCGGGUUUUACCAGAAGUAGGUAGCUUAACCGUAAGGAGGGCGCUUACCACGGUAGGAUUCGUGACUGGGGUGAAGUCGUAACAAGGUAGCCGUAUCGGAAGGUGCGGCUGGAUCACCUCCUUUCUAG
This 467-nucleotide ribosomal RNA is filed under the name Salmonella enterica subsp. enterica serovar Heidelberg. Its description in RNAcentral is "partial 16S ribosomal RNA". It matches the Rfam family "Bacterial small subunit ribosomal RNA", at positions 1068 to 1533 of the family's 1533-position model. The record is from RNAcentral. RNAcentral also lists the same sequence under 1 other name. Lineage: Bacteria; Pseudomonadati; Pseudomonadota; Gammaproteobacteria; Enterobacterales; Enterobacteriaceae.